Tarenaya hassleriana is the source of this 1746-nucleotide long non-coding RNA. RefSeq lists it as uncharacterized. The transcript has 4 exons. The record is from RefSeq and is a predicted model, not a curated record. Lineage: Eukaryota; Viridiplantae; Streptophyta; Magnoliopsida; Brassicales; Cleomaceae.
UGUGGGAGGCGACUUGUUAUGGGCCCCUCUAUUUGGGCCUGUUAUCGAUCCGGAUAGAUCCGGUUAUAUUUGGGCCGAGUCCAUACCAAUCAGGCCCGUUUACUAAAAUCCGGGUCCUUUUUUUUUUUUCUCUCCGACAAUUUUUUCCUUGUCGCUCUUCUUGAUUCUUUAACGGAUCUGUGAGAUGUAGUCUCUUCGUUUCUUUCUUCUCGCUCGUCUUCUUGCGGAAAUGCUCAUCUGAUCCCUGUUCAUGAACGCAUUCUCUGGUUUCGUCUCUUCGGAAUCAGAUCAAUUGUAGAGAGGUAGGUAUCAGAAUUUCGUCGGUGAAGGGGACGAGACGUUUAUGGCGUACGGAUGGUCCCAGGUGAUUCCGUUGGCAUCGGGGUCGUGCCCGUCUUCGCAUCGUGUAGUGUACCUCAAGCUCGCCGGACGGUUGUUGCUCGUCGUCUCUCCGUCGCAUUUGGAGCUCACCGGGUGAGGUUGGGGAAGGAGAGACGAGAAGUCGGUGCGGGAAGAAGGGGAGAAUUCGCGAGCUGUGUCGAGUCCUGAUGCCAAAUUGAUCGCUGUUCUUGUAAGUUUGUAUUCUCUCUCUCUCUCUCUCUCUCUCCCUCCCCCUCUCUCUUCAGUCAAAGAGUCAAUUGAUUGAACUCUGGGUAGGAGGUGCGUUAUAGAUUGCUCUUGUACGUAGAAUCGAGGAGAACGAACGGAAUCUAGACAGUCUUUAGUCAUGGAGCUAGCUUUUGCGGUCUGAGAUUGUUAAUUGUACGUUUAGGUUUUGUUUAUUGGACUUGAAUCGACUUAUCUUCUUUGGUGUGAGAUCGAUACAUGUGGGUUUGGCAUCGUUCUCUGGCCUAUCUGCGUUGUUAAGAAAUGGCGCUGCACACAAACUCCUCAGGGCACCUACAAUCUCUAUUCUUUUACUGUUUUUUAUGCUGAAGAUGAAGGUUUAAGAGACGAAAGUUCGUAGCUCCAGUUCUUUUGGCUGAUUAGCGGAAUCUGAAAAUGUUUUCUCCUUUCUCCAAAAUGUUCACAGGUGAGGUUAUGUUUCCUUUUCCGUUCCAGCCAAAAAACGGUUCUUUAAGAACCCGUCUCUGGAUAAGAGGUUGGCACCAUAACCUGUGUCGAUUCUUGUAGUUGCCUUCUGAGUGCGGCUCAUUUGAGUUAUGUUUCUGGCGAAGCAGCUCCUCUUUGAAAGAGCAGAGUCCUCAUGUUGCAUCCGUGAGGAACAUACUGGAAAGUCAUGCCGGCUACUUGAUGCCGGAGAAGGAACUUUCAAAGCUUGUUGCAUUCGUGAAAGAAUUCCUCUUGGCUCACAUGUGCUCCGUGAAGUUCAAAGAAUGGAUUCUUGUUCUCGCUACUCUUUUAAGACGGUCCGACCCGACGUAUGAUUCCCUGCCAGCGAAGGAAACCAUUGUUGGAACUCGAAUAAGAAUGUGUGAAUGAAUGGAAUGGCUCGCUUACAUGGGUUGCUUUGGACGCAGGUCAUUCAUGAUCUGCGAUUGUGGAAUGCAUACAACAUGACACUGCAGCUAUUCCUUUAAGUGGGUCGGCGGAAGUGGGAAGUGUGGGACACCAUCUCAAGUUCACGAGUUCAACUUUGCGGCCUCUGCUCUCCAUUCCCCACAUUUUAAUAAAACCCCACAAAAUUUGUUAUAAAAUAAUAAAAUUAAAUUAAAACUUUAUAUGUUUGUAUAGGUAUGUGGGCUACCGAAUUUUAUAUAACCUCACUUUAACGGAAUAUGGCCA